GACGAACGCUGGCGGCGUGCUUAACACAUGCAAGUCGAGCGAUAAAUUCUUACCAGAACCUUUCGGGGGGAAGAUUAGACGGAAUAGCGGGGGGCGGGUGAGUCGCACGUGUGUAACGCCUCUUUUACGCAGGUAUCGCCUCAGAAAAACUGGUUAUACACCUGAUGACACUAUCAAAUCACAUGAUUGAGGAAGUUAAAACUCCGGUGGUAAAAGAUGGGCUCGCGGCCCAACAGCUAGUUGGUGUAGGUAACGGCCCACCAAGGCAGCGAUGGAUAGCCGACCUGAGAGGGUGAACGGCCACAGUGGGACUGAGAAACGGACCAAACUCCUACGGGAGGCAGCAGUGGGGAAUAUUGCACAAUGGGGGAAACCCUGAUGCAGCGACGCCGCGUGAGCGAAGAAGUCCUUCGGGACGUAAAGCUCUAUCAGAUGGGAAGAAAAUGACGGUACCAUAAGAAGAAGCCCCGGCUAACUACGUG
This 482-nucleotide ribosomal RNA is filed under the name uncultured bacterium. Its description in RNAcentral is "partial 16S ribosomal RNA". It matches the Rfam family "Bacterial small subunit ribosomal RNA", at positions 28 to 507 of the family's 1533-position model. The record is from RNAcentral.